This 506-nucleotide ribosomal RNA is filed under the name uncultured bacterium. RNAcentral describes it as "partial 16S ribosomal RNA". It matches the Rfam family "Bacterial small subunit ribosomal RNA", at positions 29 to 523 of the family's 1533-position model. The record is from RNAcentral.
AGUGAACGCUGGCGGUAGGCCUAACACAUGCAAGUCGAACGGCAGCACAGGAGAGCUUGCUCUCUGGGUGGCGAGUGGCGGACGGGUGAGGAAUACAUCGGAAUCUACUCUGUCGUGGGGGAUAACGUAGGGAAACUUACGCUAAUACCGCAUACGACCUACGGGUGAAAGCAGGGGAUCUUCGGACCCUGCGCGAUUGAAUGAGCCGAUGUCGGAUUAGCUAGUUGGCGGGGUAAAGGCCCCCCAAGGCGACGAUCCGUAGCUGGUCUGAGAGGAUGGUCAGCCACACUGGAACUGAGACACGGUCCAGACUCCUACGGGAGGCAGCAGUGGGGAAUAUUGGACAAUGGGCGCAAGCCUGAUCCAGCCAUACCGCGUGGGUGAAGAAGGCCUUCGGGUUGUAAAGCCCUUUUGUUGGGAAAGAAAUCCAGCUGGCUAAUACCCGGUUGGGAUGACGGUACCCAAAGAAUAAGCACCGGCUAACUUCGUGCCAGCCGCCGCCGUAA